RNAcentral lists this non-coding RNA (72 nucleotides) under Schistosoma japonicum. The record is from RNAcentral. Lineage: Eukaryota; Metazoa; Platyhelminthes; Trematoda; Strigeidida; Schistosomatidae.
AGUCGUAAUGCUGACUGCAGAGGGGUGUGAUAGCAGUAAGGUGUUUCCCUCGGACAGCCAGCAUCUGCAGCG